UGGGUCAUCUAGUUGAGCCUUUCUUUGUUAGUUUGGUUUGGGGCUUUAUGCUCUUUAGGCGCGCUGGAUUCUAGAUUCUGGGUUUGUGCUCGUGGGCCCUUCAUGGAAAAUUAUCUUCUAUCAUUGUAUAUUCUGAGCUCUGGGGGUCCAUUUUCUUAACCCUUCGCCUUUUUGUUUUAACGAUUUUUUUUGGAGGAAAUAUCCGUAGCAUUUAUAUGUCCGGACUGGGUGUCCCAAGUUUUCAUGUUGUACUUCUUAUAUAUUGCAGUUUACCCAUUCUAUACAUCAUCGCUCUUCCAGCAUUUUCCUUUUUGCCUUAUGUUGUAUGGUAUUCCUCCUGUCCCCGUUCUCACAACCAGCCCAACCCCCCAAAAUUGAAAA
This 381-nucleotide small RNA is filed under the name Histoplasma capsulatum var. duboisii H88. RNAcentral's name for it is "Histoplasma capsulatum H88 hypothetical RNA". The record is from RNAcentral. Lineage: Eukaryota; Fungi; Ascomycota; Eurotiomycetes; Onygenales; Ajellomycetaceae.